CUGCUGACUCCAUUGCAAUGUCCCAUGCAAUAUCUCUUUCCGCUGAUAUAUGGGUCAUGAGGGUCAUUUUUGAAACGGACUCGCAACUCCAGAUGGAAGCACUGAAUAUCAAUAAGGUGGACUCGUCGGCCUAUGCUGCUGUUAUUGAGGAUACCAAGUACCAGCUCAAAUUAUGGUUUUCUUAUUAUGAAAUAAAUGUAUGUCGUCGCUCGGCAAACUCUGUUGCUCACGAGCUUGCUAGCCUUGAUAGGAUGUACGAACCUAACCACUAUGUGGAAUGGGAGGCCGAUGUACCAGCCCUUAUGGCUGCAUGUGCUUUGGGUGAUUCAGCCCAGCAUCGUUAAGUUAUAAAGUAAUGUUUUUUCUCAAAAGAGAAGCUUUUAGUAGAUGUACUUGUGCUUAUGCUUUACACAUUUACACUUGUAUAAUUGUUCUGAUCCCUCGAUUACAUGCUUGCUGACAUAGUAUUAGUCCAGUUAGUUUGGCGAUAGUUCUUUUUAACAAUGGGGCUGGAAUAAUUGUAUGGCAUAUGUUAUGUUCGACUCAUUAACUGGAACUUUUUUUAUUUCUUGAUUGCAGGAUCCAAAGAACUAGUUGGACUGGACUCUAGAUCACGGACAUUCUAGUCUUCGCAGUUAAUUAGGAUGGCGAAAUUACAUUUGAGUUUCAUUUGAUGGAUAUUUGCUAUGAGAAUUAUGAAUUUUAUGAAUUUACAUAUUAUACGUAUGGUUUUGAAUAUUGUAAUUGAAAGCCUGUAUUUUUUUUACGGUUGCAAUAGGCUAUUACCACAACCCACUUUCGGUUGCCACAUGCUAGCACCUCUGCAAAUAUAUUGUUGCGUCAUAUCUCUGUUGCUACGCCUACCUAUUUUGUUGCACUAGGAUGUUGCAACGGAGCACUUUAUAUUGUCGCAAUAGCUUGUCACCACAAUUUUUUUCACGACGCGAUAACUGUUUCGCCACCAAAGCAAGUUUUGUUGAAAUAGAGUAUCGCCACGGAAAGUUUAAAUUGUCGCAAUAAUUUCUUGCUACAAAUAUUUUACUUGUUGUGAUACCUAUUUAUCACCACCAAAACAAGUAUGUUGCAAUUU
RNAcentral lists this long non-coding RNA (1090 nucleotides) under Triticum aestivum (bread wheat). RNAcentral describes it as "long non-coding RNA (TAES_LNC018795)". Lineage: Eukaryota; Viridiplantae; Streptophyta; Magnoliopsida; Poales; Poaceae. The record is from RNAcentral.